GUCACAGAAGCAGUGAUGACGUAACAGAAGAGCCUGCUUCAACAUGGUAUGUGACGUCACAGAGGAAUCGACAUCGCUGAAGAAUUCAUCGUUGUGCAGAAGACAAGACAAAAAAAGACGAGAAAAAAAGCGCAAGACGAAGAACAAAGACGAAGACGCCAAUAUAAGGAUGCCGGUUUGAGGUGUUUGUAGGCUUAAGCGUGUAUAGGCCUAUAUAGGUGUGUAUAGGCCUAUAUAGGUGUGUAUAGGCCUACUAUAGGUGUGUAUAGGCCGAUUAUAGGUGUGUAUAGGCCUACUAUAAGUGUGUAUAGGCUUAAUUAGGUGUGUAUGCCCGAAGAAAGAAGAUCAAAGACGCCGAUAAAGGAUGUCGGUUUCAGGUGGUUUAGGUUUAGUCUUAAAGUAUGAGUGUGUUUGUUUAUGUGUGUGUCAGCUAGUGCACUCUUACAGUGUUGCCAGCUUUUGUUUUUGCUGGGCCUAAUGUUGCCAGCUAUGUCCCCAAGCACUUCUCAGUGCUUCUACAUGUCUUUGAAACAAAUGCAAAGGAAUUGUUGCAACAAUCUUACUUGAUAAAGAUUAGCAUCUACUGUAAUGUUCAUUCCUUCCGAGUGUUUUGUCUGUCGGGACUUGAAUCUUACAGCGGUUUUGUAGUGUCUCGGUUUGCUUUGCGAGAACGCUGUCCCAGUAUACAUAUACUCGAGUAAUAUCAAUAUUUAAAUUCCUUUAAUUCUUUAAUAAAUUAAAUUAGUAUAAAGUCCCCAACACACCGCUAAAGUUAAAUUAUUUAACACAACAUCGCGUUUGGCAUAAUUGUUACGAUGGCCACGUCACAAUUACGCUUUACGUCGAUGCGGUGGGUCAGCUACGUCAUGACCCUGCGUUCGGUGCGGUUACGACACGGUCGGCUUAGUUACGUUACAGUUGCGGGUUUGUUACGUGGACGUCGCCGCUUUGCGGUUCGUAACAGCCACAGUAUGUCGUAACGGUCGGUGCGGUGCGUAACAGCCGGACGAUAUUAUAUUGUGCGAAGAUACGACGAGAGUAUCGCGGUACCAAGAUGUUUUCUCAAUAAGCGGUCGGGUGAUGCAGGGCCGUUGUUUGCUUUAGACUUCUUGCAGGUGGGCACUUGGUGGCGUGCGCACUGCAGGGCUUUUCUGUGAGACUUGCAACUUUUCGUUUGACGGUGAAUGCUUGUUGGUGUGACUGUUUUUGUCUAUGGGUUUCUUUUCCUUGCUUGGGUAGGGUCUAUCCAGCAAAGGGUUUCUCACCAGAGUAGAAACCCACUACCAUUGGCUGGGGGCUUGUCGUGCCGUAGUGGCUUUCCACCAACGCCAGCCACAUAAACUAUGAAGGUAUUUUAAUCCUGUUUUUAUUUUCCAGAAUUUCAGUUUCAGAUAUUUUCAUCCGCACGUGGGCGCUAGCGAUUGUUGGAAUUACAGUUCGCAUUGUUUGUAAUUGUUAUAAUUACGCCGCCACGCCGAAGUCCAACUGCGUCGAACUGACAAUACGCUGUGUGACGUCAUAAUGAAACAAGUGCAUGAGGUGUUAGUAAGUUUGAAUAUGAACUGGGGAUCAGCAAUGGCGGUUGGACCAUCCAGUGUGGGACAUCCAUUCGUGGGAUCAGGAAUGGCGGCCUCACUCACCCCUUCAAGAUCAGGGCACGGUGGGGUG
Molecule: non-coding RNA, 1668 nt
Organism: Ciona intestinalis (vase tunicate)
Lineage: Eukaryota; Metazoa; Chordata; Ascidiacea; Phlebobranchia; Cionidae
Source: RefSeq, a predicted model, not a curated record